Molecule: ribosomal RNA, 1730 nt
Filed under: Klebsiella pneumoniae
Lineage: Bacteria; Pseudomonadati; Pseudomonadota; Gammaproteobacteria; Enterobacterales; Enterobacteriaceae
Description: partial 23S ribosomal RNA
Rfam family: Bacterial large subunit ribosomal RNA
Source: RNAcentral
GGGUUGUGAGGUUAAGCGACUAAGCGUACACGGUGGAUGCCCUGGCAGUCAGAGGCGAUGAAGGACGUGCUAAUCUGCGAAAAGCGUCGGUAAGGUGAUAUGAACCGUUAUAACCGGCGAUGUCCGAAUGGGGAAACCCAGUGCAAUUCGUUGCACUAUCGUUAACUGAAUACAUAGGUUAACGAGGCGAACCGGGGGAACUGAAACAUCUAAGUACCCCGAGGAAAAGAAAUCAACCGAGAUUCCCCCAGUAGCGGCGAGCGAACGGGGAGCAGCCCAGAGUCUGAAUCAGCUUGUGUGUUAGUGGAACGGUCUGGAAAGUCCGACGGUACAGGGUGAUAGUCCCGUACACCAAAAUGCACAGGUUGUGAACUCGAAGAGUAGGGCGGGACACGUGGUAUCCUGUCUGAAUAUGGGGGGACCAUCCUCCAAGGCUAAAUACUCCUGACUGACCGAUAGUGAACCAGUACCGUGAGGGAAAGGCGAAAAGAACCCCGGCGAGGGGAGUGAAAAAGAACCUGAAACCGUGUACGUACAAGCAGUGGGAGCACCUUCGGGUGUGACUGCGUACCUUUUGUAUAAUGGGUCAGCGACUUAUAUUCUGUAGCAAGGUUAACCGUAUAGGGGAGCCGCAGGGAAACCGAGUCUUAACUGGGCGUUAAGUUGCAGGGUAUAGACCCGAAACCCGGUGAUCUAGCCAUGGGCAGGUUGAAGGUUGGGUAACACUAACUGGAGGACCGAACCGACUAAUGUUGAAAAAUUAGCGGAUGACUUGUGGCUGGGGGUGAAAGGCCAAUCAAACCGGGAGAUAGCUGGUUCUCCCCGAAAGCUAUUUAGGUAGCGCCUCGUGAAUUCAUCUUCGGGGGUAGAGCACUGUUUCGGCUAGGGGGUCAUCCCGACUUACCAACCCGAUGCAAACUACGAAUACCGAAGAAUGUUAUCACGGGAGACACACGGCGGGUGCUAACGUCCGUCGUGAAGAGGGAAACAACCCAGACCGCCAGCUAAGGUCCCAAAGUCAUGGUUAAGUGGGAAACGAUGUGGGAAGGCACAGACAGCCAGGAUGUUGGCUUAGAAGCAGCCAUCAUUUAAAGAAAGCGUAAUAGCUCACUGGUCGAGUCGGCCUGCGCGGAAGAUGUAACGGGGCUAAACCAUGCACCGAAGCUGCGGCAGCGACACUAUGUGUUGUUGGGUAGGGGAGCGUUCUGUAAGCCUGCGAAGGUGUGCUGUGAGGCAUGCUGGAGGUAUCAGAAGUGCGAAUGCUGACAUAAGUAACGAUAAAGCGGGUGAAAAGCCCGCUCGCCGGAAGACCAAGGGUUCCUGUCCAACGUUAAUCGGGGCAGGGUGAGUCGACCCCUAAGGCGAGGCCGAAAGGCGUAGUCGAUGGGAAACAGGUUAAUAUUCCUGUACUUGGUGUUACUGCGAAGGGGGGACGGAGAAGGCUAUGUUAGCCGGGCGACGGUUGUCCCGGUUUAAGCAUGUAGGCUGGUUGUCCAGGCAAAUCCGGAUAAUCAAGGCUGAGGUGUGAUGACGAGGCACUACGGUGCUGAAGUAACAAAUGCCCUGCUUCCAGGAAAAGCCUCUAAGCAUCAGGUAACAUUAAAUCGUACCCCAAACCGACACAGGUGGUCAGGUAGAGAAUACCAAGGCGCUUGAGAGAACUCGGGUGAAGGAACUAGGCAAAAUGGUGCCGUAACUUCGGGAGAAGGCACGCUGGUGUGUAGGUGAAG